Molecule: non-coding RNA, 72 nt
Organism: Phrynosoma platyrhinos (Desert horned lizard)
Lineage: Eukaryota; Metazoa; Chordata; Lepidosauria; Squamata; Phrynosomatidae
Source: the annotation of a GenBank genome assembly
GUCAGUGUGGUGUAGUGGUUUGGGUGUUGGACUAUGACUCUGGAGACCAGGGCUCAAUUCUCAGCUCAGCCA